GACCCCAGGUCAGGCGGGAUUACCCGCUGAAUUU
This 34-nucleotide ribosomal RNA is filed under the name Euphorbia mellifera. RNAcentral's name for it is "partial 26S ribosomal RNA". The record is from RNAcentral. Lineage: Eukaryota; Viridiplantae; Streptophyta; Magnoliopsida; Malpighiales; Euphorbiaceae.